CCGGGGACCACCAUCGCUCUCGUGGGCGAGAGCGGGGCG
Molecule: non-coding RNA, 39 nt
Filed under: Dinophysis acuminata
Lineage: Eukaryota; Dinophyceae; Dinophysales; Dinophysaceae
Source: RNAcentral